This is a long non-coding RNA of Papaver somniferum (opium poppy), 1781 nucleotides long. RefSeq lists it as uncharacterized. The record is from RefSeq and is a predicted model, not a curated record. The transcript has 3 exons. Lineage: Eukaryota; Viridiplantae; Streptophyta; Magnoliopsida; Ranunculales; Papaveraceae.
AGAAAUUAUAAAACCCUAAUCAGUCCCAGUCCGCCUUUGCUUCGAUUUUCAGAUUUCCAUAGUUUCAGAUCUUAUCUCAAGUUUUGCAGAUCGAUCCAUGAAAUCAAUUUCCCCACAAGUUUCAAUUCCUAUUUCUCAUUUUGAUCUUCCCCGAAAUCAAAACCCCGAUCACUAAGUAAGAAGACAUUAAGGUAUCGAUGGAUACUUUAAGAAGGAGUAUUGAUUUUGUUGUAUGUGAUUCUGGUGGAGGGAUCGGAACACACAAACAACCACAACAUGAUCAUAUUUCCUCGAUCAAAACAGAACCUUAUCAAUUCACGAGGACUUGGAUAAGGAACAAGGAUAUACCAGCUUAUUCCCCUUAUUUUGACAAAGUGUUGUUUGAUAUGAACGGGAAAGGUUUAAUAAGGAUGCUGGAGGUGUGUCUCUGGUUUCUCGGUUGAAGGUGAAAUAUCACAUUUACCUGUCAAAGACCAGGACGGCAUGUACCAAUUUGAUACUCGUGCUGAUCUAGCCGCUCUGGCCUCUAAGGUUAUUUUGCUGUAUCGCUUGCAAGAGGAGAAAACUCAGCGCGUGGUCUUUGUCGCUGGAUAUGCUCGUGGAGAAUCUGACUACUAACGUCGAAGACACUCCUGUUCUGAAAGUUGUUCAUACUUUUCGAGAUGAUUCAGUACCUUCCCUGGCUGCUCACAAUGAUAUGGUCCAAUUCUUAAAUGCAGCAAAAACACACCGCAAGGAUUUAAUCGCUAAAGGAAGUACGACUCGGCUCAUUUUAUUUGUUUAGUUAGCUGGCAGCCGUUCCGCUUAUCUGUUGCAUUAGUCCUUCGCAUAUGAAGACAAAAGCUUCAUCGCCUAAUAUUAAUGUCAUGUAUGCCAUGGUCAUCUCUGCCUGGGUAUAAUUAUUCAAGGUAACAACAUUUUACCGUUUCACUGCUUGUUAACUAUUAGAUACACAUGAUUUAGGUUUUACUUUUUUGUUAUAUACCUAAUUGACGUGCUCGUGAAGAAGUGAUCGAGGACUAUGCGUUGAUGGAUUUAUCGUCUGCAUCUCAAUUUACCAGUACGAAGGUCUCUCCAUUGAUGAUGAACGUUCUCAUCCAUGAUUUUCUUUAUUGUUCUUUGGAGCCACAUUUUGAGAGUCUCGGUUAUAAAUGAAGAACAUAGAUGCGACGUGAUAAAUCCUUGCUUUAAAUUAGGAGGAGCUGACAAGUAUCAACUUGUUGGAAUCUAGAGAUAGACCCAUCAGACCCUGAAUGCGUGAAAUGCUUUUGUAGAUUGAUGUAUAAGGAGGUUUAUGAUGAGACCCCUACUUUCUUAUGAACCAAAACAAUAUGAUUUUGUUGUGGUCAAACUACUACAGAUGACUGUAAGGUGUUGGAGCAGGAAAGAAGUGUCUAUUCUAUCUGUUCUCUUAAUCUGCAUACAAGAGUGUGUUUUUUUUUGUUUGUUUUGUAAUUUUAGUUCUGGGUUAUCAUGUAGUAACCUGAAAGAGGUCUUCAUGUUUAAAAUGGAUUUCUGAUGGUUAUUUUAAGUUUAGUUAGUUCAGAAUAUUUUGUAUGUAGACUGUGCAAAAAUUGUUUGUAAUUGUGUUUACACAUUGUGAACAUCUUCGUGUAUCAUUGCAUCCAUAAGAAAUGUCCGUCUUCUAAACCAGGUGGUCCAUACUAGAUAAAAAUAAUGCAAUUUGAUGUGUCGAAGCACUGUUUAUUGAUUGAAUGGUUUUUUUGUAUUACCUUGUUUAUAUUUCGAAAUUAAUCAGGCACUAAAACUUUCUUCUUUUU